Paramuricea clavata is the source of this 241-nucleotide non-coding RNA. The record is from the annotation of a GenBank genome assembly. NCBI's taxonomy places the organism in Eukaryota, Metazoa, Cnidaria, Anthozoa, Malacalcyonacea, Plexauridae.
CUGUACUGUAUAUCUCUAUUGAAUUGACUGCCGAAUUUCAUUAAUCUCUAUAUCUUGCUUGUACCUUAAAACAACAGUUUUUAAUGGAACACUGCAUGAGAAGCACACGCACAAUCCCAGACCAAUGGAGACCAAAAAGAUAGCCAGAUUUUUACAAUCACGAUCACAGUAUCCUUGUCUUGCUGUACCUGGUUUACUUGUAUUCGUCAUGACGCAGGAACAAAUCCCGAAUGUCUAUUUA